This 408-nucleotide ribosomal RNA is filed under the name uncultured bacterium. RNAcentral describes it as "bacterial SSU rRNA". It matches the Rfam family "Bacterial small subunit ribosomal RNA", at positions 354 to 776 of the family's 1533-position model. The record is from RNAcentral.
GUGGGGAAUAUUGGGCAAUGGGCGAAAGCCUGACCCAGCAACGCCGCGUGAGGGAAGAAGGUUUUCGGAUUGUAAACCUCUGUCCUAAGGGACGAAGGAAGUGACGGUACCUUAGGAGGAAGCCCCGGCUAACUACGUGCCAGCAGCCGCGGUAAUACGUAGGGGGCGAGCGUUGUCCGGAAUGACUGGGCGUAAAGGGCGUGUAGGCGGCUUUUUAAGUCUGGAGUGAAAGUCCUGCUUUCAAGGUGGGAAUUGCUUUGGAGACUGGAGAGCUUGAGUGCGGAAGAGGUAAGUGGAAUUCCCAGUGUAGCGGUGAAAUGCGUAGAGAUUGGGAGGAACACCAGUGGCGAAGGCGACUUACUGGGCCGUAACUGACGCUGAGGCGCGAAAGCGUGGGGAGCGAACAGG